UACGGAGGGUGCAAGCGUUGUUCGGAAUUAUUGGGCGUAAAGCGCGUGUAGGCGGCUAUUUAAGUCUGAUGUGAAAGCCCGGGGCUCAACCCCGGAAGUGCAUUGGAAACUGGAUAGCUUGAGUACGGGAGAGGGUAGUGGAAUUCCAGGUGUAGGAGUGAAAUCCGUAGAGAUCUGGAGGAACACCGGUGGCGAAGGCGGCUACCUGGACCGAUACUGACGCUGAGACGCGAAAGCGUGGGGAG
RNAcentral lists this ribosomal RNA (245 nucleotides) under uncultured Pelobacter sp. Its description in RNAcentral is "partial 16S ribosomal RNA". It matches the Rfam family "Bacterial small subunit ribosomal RNA", at positions 524 to 768 of the family's 1533-position model. Lineage: Bacteria; Pseudomonadati; Thermodesulfobacteriota; Desulfuromonadia; Desulfuromonadales; Desulfuromonadaceae. The record is from RNAcentral.